Molecule: transfer RNA, 77 nt
Filed under: Chryseobacterium angstadtii
Lineage: Bacteria; Pseudomonadati; Bacteroidota; Flavobacteriia; Flavobacteriales; Weeksellaceae
Description: tRNA-Lys
Rfam family: tRNA
About the family: Transfer RNA (tRNA) molecules are approximately 80 nucleotides in length. Their secondary structure includes four short double-helical elements and three loops (D, anti-codon, and T loops).
Source: RNAcentral
AAUCUCAUAGCUCAAUUGGUUAGAGCACCGGUCUUUUAAACCGGAGGUUGAAGGUUCGAUUCCUUCUGGGAUUACAA